GUAAAAUAAAUAAAUUUUUUUAAAUAAAAAUAAGAAAAGAUAGAAUUCCACAUCAAAGUCCAGCUUGAGGUUACAUACAGAAGAUUGAGUGAAGGGUUACUUACAGAUGAAUGGAGGACCCAAAGAAGGCUGCAUCUGGGAAAAGCCCACCCUAUCCUGACUUAGAAAAUGUGCAUCCCUGGAGCUCUCUGCAAAAUUUGCAUUCAGCACCAGCCUAAGAGGCCAGGAAGCUUCUUCUCCCAGCACUUGUUUACAGCUUCCAUAAUCCAGGCAGGGUUCCUUGUGAGUCUUGGAAGUUUCUUUGUUCCAGAACUUGAAAGGUUUCUUGAGCUUCAUGAGCACAGCUCCUCCCUCAAGGAAGGAGUGUUUCAAUUCAACUACCCACCUACAAUGUUGGACCUGAAUUUAUUUAUUUUUUCUUUCAAGUACAAGGAGUCCAACCCAGGGUAUCUCUAAGGGAUGAUACCCAGGUAGAACCAAUCGGGGAGAAGGGAGGAAGUCAAGAACUGUGAGGGCCCCAGGAUCCUAUAAAACAUCCAGCAUCAAGUCCACUCAGUGGACUCCAAGCUCUGGAUCUCCUCCCAUCCAAAUGGGAGCUCUUCUCUUGCCUUAACAAAGCUUGUUAUUUUUAUUUUCUCUAAAUUUGUGGCUUUUGCCUCCUCCCCAUCUGUCACUUUCGCUUUCUCUGCCUCUAAGGCUCCCACCCUCUCCAUGUCUGUGACUUAUGCUUUCUCCUCAUCAGUCAUCAUUCCUGGACAUAUAAUUCUUUGUUAAGUCCAUGGAACAAACUCUACAGUACCCUAGAUGAUCACCCCUCACCCAUAGACCUCCCACCUUAGUUACAGGGGUCUGUCUGGAUUUGAAGAUUUCAACUCAAGGUCAAUAUAACUGACUGAAAAUUGCAGUGGAAACCCUGGGAGUGACCAUGAUCAUCCAGGACCCAAGUAGUCUCAUGGAGUGAGUGCCCCCAUCCAUAAUUAGCAUGGCCAAAUCCUCCAGUUAGCUACUUUUUACUUUCUUUGGGGAUAUUAAAGGCAUAAGUGACUACACUCUAUAGGGAAUGGAGUAGUCAGAUCUCAUACAGCCAAACAGAUUUUAAUCUUAUAAUUGGUGGGGUGUGGGUCUGUGGUUUAUACUACCACUCAUGAGCUAAGAGACACCACUUCUGACCACUAAGGAGUCAGUCACUCCUACCAGCUGGGAAAGCUUUUAUACUAGUACAAAAUGUCUGGGCAACCUAUUUGCCACUGUGGUACUUGGGCAACUUUCUUUAUGAAAACAUGGGCAAGAUCCAUGAAAAAUUUAUACCCUUUGGGUGGACUACUGGCAGGUUGCAUUUUUCAGGUACAAAGAAAGGACCAAUCACUUUAUUAUUUAUCUCAAAAGGUGAUCUUAUAAGAAAUCUUAAAAGAAUCACAAAUCUAAACUUUUAUAUGUGAAAAACAGUCAAUUGGCUCUACUUUAAGUCCUCAGGGUACAUACCCACUCAUCAGUUUUUUUUAUAUCAGGAAUCUGAGAGAAGUAAUGGGUACAAAGAAUUAAUCACCACCCUUGAUCACCAGCCUAUCCUAGCAAGAAAGGUAUGUCAGCCAGCAAUAGCCAGGCUACCAUGUUUUGUUCCCUGACCUCAGAGUCCCUCACUCAGAUGUUAAAAGUGUGGCUUUCUAAAUUUUAAAUUGUUUCCUAAGAUUUUCUACAUCAAAGCAAUUCAUAAAAACACCUUAACCUAACUUUACUAACAAUUCUACAUGUCUAAAUUUUUCUAAGGGUGGUGGUUGAAUCAUUAAUCUGCUCCAGCAGCAAUGCUUGGAAAAAGUCAAUCACUAUUAUUGUUAAGUACUAGUAACACUGCCCAGUGAGGGGCUAGCAACCCCCUGAUAGUUUUCAUCCAAUCAUAGAUUAUGAGGGAUAUAGUGACUGCAAAAGCAACCAUCAGAGCUCUGCUCAAUAACAGCAUGAGGUCCUCAGGACACCUAGUCCUCAGAGCUUUGCCUCUCCAAGGCUCACUCAGGAGUGGCUUUGCCAACUGCCCAUGUUCCAUGGGUUCCAAUGCUCCCUGUUGGUCCCCUAGCAUGGCCACUGACAAUACAUGUGUAAGAAGUUUUCCCAAUGUACAUAGCCUUCUUUAAAUGAAAAUCAGUCACCAUAAGUGCUUGUACCACUUGCUUCCUAAUUGGGCAAAAAUGUAACAUGAAUUUAUGGAUUAAGAGAGUGGGCAUACAAUUAUGGAUACCCUAAGGGAGAGAGAUUUCUGCCCUAUUUCCCCUGGAGCAACAUGUCCCUUCCCUGUCCCCCUUGGACUGCUCUUAUGCCAAGCCAAGAGUCAGGUACUCUCUCAUUAGUUAUCACUAGUUCAGGCUAUUAUUCGAGAUGCUCUGGUUCCCUACUCAGCUCCGUAUGAAAUGAGGGGUCACUUUCAUUUGCAUCAUCUGAAAUAAAAGGCUCUCAAGCCAUCAUAAGCUUCCAGGAAAAGAAAAAUAUCCUGUCUCCAAGACUUCAGGGGUUUAUCAAAUUUGAUCUGCCCAUUCUCAAAUAAGAUUGGAGGAGAAUGAGUGUACUUUCUGGAAUGGAGGCAUCAGAAAUUAUCUGGGAGGUGAAUGAAAUUGUCAGGGACCAGGCCCAUAGGUAUGGGUAAGUGCAAACUAGUCUCACAUGGGGAACCAAUUCCAGGGGUGUUCUCUUAGGACACACUGACCUUCCCCUCCAAUGGCUAGGAGCUGCUUCUCCAGAUGCUGAGAUGAGAGAGUCAUGGAGAAUUAAGCAACCUUCCAUCAGUCUCUUCCAGUCUUGCUUUACUUCACAGAUGGGGAUGGAAGCCUCCAAGAUCCUUUGAGUUCCCUGUUGGCUUGCCUUCUGGACAACUGGAACAAGCUAAACUCCAAAAGUGCAUAAUAAUGCUUUGAUUUUUCCUCAAUUCAUGCAUAGCCCGAGAAAUCAGAAGGCAAAUCUUUUGUUUCGAGGGAUGGCAUUACCAAAGAUCCUUGGGCUAUAAGAGGAGCUGUCAUGGACCAGCCAGGUACCAGACUGCUGAAACCAGGAGCCUCACAAGUGAAACAAGUCAAAAGAAAUCAGGAAGGGGCUGGAGAUACUCCACAGGUAAAGGAGAUAAUCCCACUACUCAAUCCAGACUCUCUGGUGGAGACUACUAUACACUAUCUGUUCUCUAUCAUAGGAAAAACAAAGAGGAGGAAAUCAGGACAUGGUGAGAGACAAGCCAUCUGACUGCACUUUCCCCAGGACAGACUAGACACACUAGGUGUUCCUUGUUAUAGGCUGCAGCCACCCUUCCAAAUGGACUAGGAAGUGUGGGUUCGAUAAGGCAAAUCCUACCCAACUUCUCUGUAUUUACUCCUCCAUCUCAUUACAAGAGUGAUCAAACCAGUCUCCAAAUUCUUCUGAAGUUCCUAUUCAGCUGCCUUUUCAGACACUGAGAAAAAUUAGCCCCUCAGACGUCCAAUCAAUCACUUUCCCUGGAGAAAAAUAAACCUCCUGUAUAACUUGAUCUCUUGUAUGAGGGCGAGUACUUAUCAAGGUUUUUGUUUUCGUAUUACCUGCCUCCAUCUGUAGGGACAGGCAAACUGUGAGUAUAAAGCUUUCAAGCAGUUGGUCACUCCAAGUCUAGCCAUGGAAGGUAUCAAAUUAGACACUAGUAAAGACAGAUGCUUCAAUCAGCUUGAACCUGUUUGAUGUUUGAUCCUGGGUGCUCACUGUCACCCUGGUAUUAUAAAGUUAAAAGAAAUCAGAGGGUGGCCUUUCUAAAACAAAGUGUUCUAACUCUUUUUUUCUAAAGGGGAAGAAAACGCUUUCUACCUUUUGUCAGUCCCUGUCGGACCCAGUGGAUAAGAAUAAUUUGGGCAACUCUGUGAAGAUUGAAAGAGGACAGGUGCUUUGGGUCCAGCCAUUUGACUUCAGACUCAACAGCAAGCUUGAUAUCCAGUGUCGACAGCUUGGUUCAGUUUUAUAGAGGAAAAAAAUGCCUUUAAGGUCUAGAGAGUAUUGGAAAAUGGCCGUGUGCUGUUUAAGCUCACUGGGAUGCUGGCUCUGGAGAUGGGAUUUGACCCUUACACUUCAGACCCCAAACUACUUCCUCGUGUCCUGAGCCAUGCUACUUAGACUCAUUGAGAGCCUAAAGCGUGGCUAUCAUAGAUCAUUUUCUGGAUUGUAUAAACUGCAAAACAAAGGACAGAAAGUAACAUCCCUCAUAACCUUUCCUAAGGUUUAGGAAAGUUUGGGGCUCUCUUUUAGGGGGUUCCACCGGGAACCUUUACUAGAUUUCAGGGCAAGAAAAUGACUUACCUAGUUGUGAGACUGUGCAUUCCUCCCUACCCAAGUUAAGACAAGAGUGAGGAAUGUCCUUUAUCAUCUAAAACUAUAAUUAGGCUUAAAUGUUAGUAUUUUUUGGCUCUGUGCAUACUUAAUUUUUUGCCUUUAAUUUGCAGGGAGUGUUCCCUCACACCAAGAUCAUUUUGAUAAUGUCCCCAGGCUCUGAAUGAAAUGUGAAUUUUUGAGAUGGAGAGGUAAUUCUCAGGUUUUGGGGAGGCCACAGAAAGAAUAAGAUGUUGAAGUCCAAGCAGAAAGAUUUGCUUAAAACUUGUCGGGAAAAAAACCUUGGUAGCUAAAAAUAUGUAUAGGUAAUCAAAAUGUGUUACAUUGUCCAACAUACACAGUUUAGAUCCAACUUUAUUUUACCUAGGAGGUGUUACAUGGCACUAUCUUUUGAGCUAAGUAGCUUUUAUCUUCAUUAGUUCAGCUUUCUUGCUUUCAAAAGAUCAUCACAACUGGGCUGUGGGCUGUUGCUAUUCUUUUACAGAAAUGAAGAGUGUACAGGGUUAUUACCUACGUAUUCAGUCACUCCUCUUAUCUGGUUAUAUUCAAUUCCUCCCUAACCGUAUAAGGCCUCUGGCAUUGGGUAGAUGUCAAAAUACAUAGUCUACAGAAGACAGUAAGACUAGAGUGCUGGCUCGUUUUAUGUCAACUUGCCACAAGCUAUAGUCAUUUGGGAACAAAGAACCUCAGUUGAGAAAAUGCUCCAAUUAGAUAGGCCACUAGGGAAGCAGAUGGAACAUUUUCUUGAUUGAUGGUUAAUGUGGGCAGGUAUAGCUCACUGUGGUGGUAGUCCUUGAUGCUAUAAGAAAGCAGGGUAAGAAAUCCGUAAGGAGAAAUUCAGUAAGCAGCAUUUCUCCAUGGCUUCUGCUUCAGUUUCUGCCUCCAGGUUCCUUCCCUGCUUGAGUUCCUGCCCUGACUUCUGUGGAUGAUGGACUACAAACUAUAAGGUGAAAUAAACCCUUUCCUUCCCAAGCUUCUUUUGGUCGUGGUAUUUUAUCGAAGCAUUAAAAUCCCAAAUAAAACAGAAAAUUAGUAACAGGAAUGGGAUAUUAGUAUGACAGAACUGACCGUGUGUUUUUGGGAGGAGUGUUGUAGCAGUUGAACUGUGGGCUGGAAAAAAUCGUGGAGUGCUCAGAAAGCAGGGGGAUCUUGGAAGACAAGUAUGUUGACAGCAGUGCAGAGAUGAGGACCUGUUUUGUGAAGUUUGGAGGGAAGGAAAGACUCUACAGGGGCCGUUUAUAUGAUAUCUUAUGUUAAGAAUCUAUAGUUCCUUGUCGGCUGGAUCUGGAGUUACCUGUGAUCAACAAGAGACCAGCACCACUGAAAUAAAAGCUUCACUUUACUGGGGAACAAUUGUUACUGGUUACUGGAACUGAGAAACUAGCAUGGUUAAAAGGACACCAACCUCACAGAGGUGAAAUAUUCUGGAAAGCAUUUUCUCAGGGUCAGCACAUUGAACCUGUGGUCCAGAUGGUGGCCAAGUUGUACCUCAUGCUGGCAGCCAAACUUGAUAAUAUGUAAGGAUCUCCUAGAUACUACUGCUUUUGAAGAUAUGAAAGGCUUAGGGAAAGCCGCCAAAGCUUUGCACUGUGAAAGGCCAGGAGAGGUCAUUGGUGGAGGUACAGCCUUUGUUGAUGUAGAAGCUCCGGGACUCUUCAGUUACAGAGAUUGGCACCAUGUCCCACUGACAGAGUCCCCAAAGAGAACCCAAGAGAGGCUAUUUUCGAAGGCACAGCCCAGUUCCAGUGGAGACCCUACAAUGUGGAGAUUACAGUACCGUGGGGUGACUGCCAAGGACAGCCGCAGCUGUGGAGUGGAGCCAGCCCUAGCCUAUGAGACAAGUUAGUGUGUGCUGUAAAGGGCAGAGCUGGAGACAGGAAACCUCUCGCAGCCCAUAGGAUCGUGACUCUGACGCUGGUUUUUACACUGUUGAAGAUUGGUUUGCUUUUUAUUUGAUUGUGACUAUGCCAUUGUUCUUCCCUCUUAGAGUAAGAAAUUACUUAAUAUGAUUUGAUUUUUGCAGGAACCCACAGUUAGGAGACUUUGGAAUUUAAGAGAGAAUGGAAUUUUUAGAGAAACUGGGUAUUUUAUAGAGACUUUGAAAGGACAGGAUAUUUUAAAGACAUUGAACUUUUAAAGACCGUGGGACAUUUCAAAGUUGGAAAGUUUGAGUGUAAUUUUAAUAUUAACAUGUUGUCUUGGGGACAAAUGAGGAUGGAAAAGUAAUAGUAGAAUAAUUGGUGUGUUUGUGUGUCAAGUUGACGAGGGAUCAGUUGUGCAGACUAGUUUUAUGUCAGCUUGACAUAGUUAGAAUCAUCUGGAAAGAGAGAACCUCAGCAGAGAAAAUGCUUCCAGCACCUUGGCCUGCAGGCCGUCCUGUGGAUCAUUUUCUCAAUUGUGUUUCGUGGCUCUUUUUGGAAUAAGCACUCUUAGCACCAAUGAGAGUGGAAGAAAGGUGUUACCAGUGGACUGAAGCAAUAAUUGUUCCUUAAAGUCCUAGGUAUUGGAUCCAAUUUGAGUUCUCAUUUUAUAAUCUGAUACUACAAGAGGAGGCAGACAAGCAAGAUUUCACAGAAGAGUACAUGGCAGUCAGCAGGCUGUUAAGGGCAAUGAUCCAUUGUUUCAUCUAUUUCUCCAGGUCAUUUUUUUCCAGGUAACAAGGUAAGUCAUGCUUGGCAAAUAGGCAGUACAAGCAGUGCCUUAAGUAAAUCACUAAAUGAAUCAAUAAAUCAGUAUCCAAUAUGUUUUUCUAUCUUACCCUACUUUAAUUGAUGAUUGGUAUGGUAGGGUCCUGGUGUGGCUAACUGUGGGUUGUGCUCCAAGAGGGCUGGUGGUGCUGGGUGCUGUAAAAAAGCAGGCUGAGAAAGUCUUUGAGGAGAAAGCCAGCAAGCAGAAGCUCUCCAUGGCUUCUGCAUCCGUUCCUGCCUCCAAGUUUCUGCCCUGACUUCCCUGGAUGAUGGACUACCUAUGAUGGAUGAUGAAAGAAACCCUUUCUCCCCAAAUUGCCUUUGGUCAGGGUGUCUUUACCACAGGAAUAGAAACGUAACUGAGACAGCUAGGGAGAGGGGGCUCCACCUAGGUUUCUGUGAGAAAGCCAUUGUCCAGGCUGAGUGAAAACUUUCCUGUUAGCUGUUUUAAGGUCUCCCAUGCUUCUGUCAGGAACCCCUCACCCAUAUCGAUAAGUAAGCUCAUUAAGUCCUCAAGAUGAACUCUGAUAAAACUGAACUUGGGCUUGUCAUUUGCAGCCUUGUGAGGAAGGGAUAAACAAGGGUAGUCCCCCACUAGGCAGAAAAUUCUCACAACAGAUGGUAAAUUUAUUUGUUAGUAUUCUUCAAGUCUCGUGGUAUUAGGAAUUUCCUACUGGUUAGUAGGUAAAAGAAAGCCUUAAAAGAAGGCAAAGGUGGAAAUAUUUUUUUCCUAAGAAGAAUUUGUGUGUGAGGAUUAAGAUGGCUGGACACUUUCAUAAUGGAAGGGAAAACUAGACAACUCAGGCAGGGUAUUAAAAUGUGAGCAAGUAUGUAAAAGUCAUGUAAAAGAUGCGACUUGGAGAUGGUGUAUGUGAUACUCAGGUUUGUAUGGUCAAAGUUCAAUAGACUGGAGCUCAGUGGUUAAGAGCACUAACUGCUCUUUCAGAGGACCAGUGUCUAGUCAGGGUUUCUACUGCUGUGAUGAGAUACCAUGACCAUGGCAACUCUUUUUUUUUUUAACUUUCUUUUUUUAAUUUAUUCUUUGUGUCUUUCACAUCAUGCAUCCCAAUCCCACCCAUCUCCUGUCCCCUGGCACCCACCCUCUGCCCUCUGCCCCUGCAAUCUGCCCCCAUGCCCCCUGCUGCCAAAUAAAACAAAAUGAAAUUUAAGAUAAAAAAGGAAAAAAAAAGGAAGAAAGGGGAAAAUCUCACCAUGGAAGCUGCAGUGUGACACAGUGAGUCAUGCAGUAAACCCCCUUUAUUCAAACAUCUUUACACGCAGGUCUUCAUCGCAUAGAACCAUUGGUUUGGUUCAAGGCCUCUGGUCUCUGCUACACUAUCGACACUGGGCCCUCACUGGGACUCUUCCUGGACAUCCCGUUGUUCUGGGCCUGGGUAGUUGUAGGGUUGGUCAGCCUGCCAGCUCUCCCCUGUCUUCACUACCAGGGUGAGUCCUCCAGCACUUCCCUGGCUAGUUCACCCCUUUCAUUGAUGAACAAGGGGUGGGGUCAGUUCUCCUGCUUUCAAGUCCUCGGGAUUGGUUCUCGCAUACCUACACCUUGGGGCCAGCUCUGCUGUGUUGGCCAGUAGAGAUGCAGAGGCCACUCUCCUGAGUGCUGCAACUGGUGAGGGGCAGGGACAGCUCUCCAGCUUUUAUGACCUCUAGGGCCAGCUCUCCCUAGAGAGCUAAGGUGUGUGUGUAUAUGUGGAGGGGGGGGAGAUCUGUCCCCUGCCCAUUCUUCCACAUGACAGAUGAGUAUGGGGACAGCUUUCCCAUCUACCUCAAUUGUUGUUGAUGCAUGGCAACUCUUAUAAGGAAAACAUUAAGCUGGGGCUGGCUCACCGGUUUAGCGGUUUAGUCCAUUAAUGUCAUGGCAGGUAACAUGGCAGCAUAUAGACAGACAUGGUGCUAGAGAAGGAGCCAAGAGUUCUUCAUCUGGAUUGGCAAGCAGCAGGAAGAGAGAGAGAGAGAGAGAGAGAGAGAGAGAGAGAGAGAGAGAGAGAGAGAGAGAGAGAGAGAGGAGAGAGGACUGGGCCUGGCUUGGGCUUCUGAAACCUCAAAGCCCACCCCCAGUGACAUACUUCCUCCAACAAGGCCACACCUACCCCAACAAGACCACACCUACUAAUAAUACCACUGCCUGUUGAGUAAUCAUUCAAAUCUAUGAGCUUAUGGAGGUCACUCCUACUCAAACAACCACACCCUGAAUUCCAUUCCCAGCAGCCACAGGGUAAGUCCAGUUCCAAGAAGAUCCUGUACCUUCUUCUGAUCUCCACAGGCACAUGGUACACAGACAUGCAUGUAAAUGGUGCACAGCCAUAUAUGCAGCCAAAACACCCACACAUGUUGUGGUGGCUUGAGUGAAAAUGGCUCUCAUUGACUCAUAAGGAGUGGCAUUGUUUGAAAGGAAUAGGACUUGUGGCCUUGUUGGAGGAUGUGUGUCACUGGGGAUGGGCUUUGAAAUUUCAGAAGUUCAAGCCAGGCCCAGUGGCUUACUCUCUUUUCCUGCUGCCCAGUAAUCCAUGUGUUAAACUUGGCUCCUUCUUCAGCACCAUGUUUGCCAGAAUACCACCAUGCUUCUAGCCAUGACAGUAAUGGACUAAACCUCUGAACUGUAAGCCAGGCCCAGUUAAAUGUUUUCCUUUAUAAGAGUUGCAGUGGCCAUGGUGCCUCUUCACAGCAAUAGAAACCAUAACUAAGACAGAUGUAAAAAAAAUAUAUAUCUCAAAAGAUUUUUUAAAAAGUUCAAUAAAGUGAUGUCCAGCUUAAACCAAUGAAGUUACUGGCCUUCCCUUCCUAACCAUUAUGAGAACUGGCCUGUACAUACAAGAACAAACCAGUACGUCUAAUCAAAGUUUAUUUAAAAGUGUUUGGGUUUUGGUCCAAGCUUCAUCUAAGUAUUACACUGUAGUUAAAAGUACCAGGUAGAACUCUGUGAAAUGAGGCCAGCCUGGUCUACAUAACAAGCAACAAGUUCCAGGCCAGCCAAGAAUACACAGUAAAACCUUGUCAAAAUAAAAUGAAAAAAGGAAGGAAGGAAGGGGGAAGGAAGGGAGAAAAAGGUAAUAGAUGGGUAUAACAUCAUCUUGGUGUUGAAUAAGCAUAUUUGGAGGUUAGACCAAUGUGGACAAAGGAAUUAAAAGGGACAGAAUUUUGCCUUCUGCACUCCAAGGUCAACUGUGUCCCAGGAGACCAUAGGGGAAUCACUUAAGAUGUCAUAGUGGUCAUCCCAUUCACAAAGGUAUCUGGUGCCAAUCUCUAAGAGGAAGGACUGAGGGAACAAGCACUCUCAUACAUAUGCUGUGUACCCAAGGUGACAAUGGAGAAUCCCAGUUGAGUACUUAAUGGCUGGGUUCCUGACCUUAGCAGCCCACAGCAUCCAAGCCUGUGUAUGGUGGCUCUGGCAAAGCCUCAGAGAUCAAAGCUGGGGCCAAUGGGGGUAGGGAUAGAAGAGGCCUGAGACCACAUCCCCAUCCCACCCCCAUUGACUGCAAGUCACUUAGUGGUACCCCUAGAUGACCACCCUGUACCCAAGACCACUCACAACAGUCUCAGAUCUCUAGACACCACUUAUUCCCUCUACUGAAGCCACAGAUGCUCUGGGAGGUCAGUGGUUCCUCGUAGUGUUCUGAGACCUCAGGAAUUCCAGGUUGUCAAGUGUUACAGUUGAUGUUGUGGAAUCCAGGCUUUGUGUAUCUACUGGGAGUCAGGAGCCUUAAGAAUGACACUGAAGCUUUCUCAGUCUUCCCAGAAUCUAUGAAAGCUAUUUGACUACACAUAAAAGUCUAUGUCAAUUGUCAUUUAUCAGAAUUACAUAAUUCAUCACUAUUCAUAAGGCUCACGACCCAUAUUCCCAGGCAACGAAGUUUUCUAUGGAUCUCCUGCUCCUGUUUUUCUAGAUUUCUCAGCCAGUGGUACUUUUCCCUGCUUUGCAGCCUGCCGGCACAUUUGUAAGUUUAUAUUUAUCUUAUGUUGUUUUUUGUUUGUUUGUUUGUUUUUCGAGACAGGGUUUCUCUGUGUAGUUUUGGUGCCUGUCCUGGAUCUCGCACUGUAGACCAGGUUGGCCUCGAACUCACAGAGAUCCACCUGGCUCUGCCUCCCGAGUGCUGGGAUUAAAGGCAUGCACCACCACCACCUGGCUUAUGUUGUUUUUCUAUGUGUUUAAACUACAAGACUUUGAAAACUACAAGACUUUGAAAUUAAUCCUUCAAUAGUGCCUUGGCUUGAAUUUGAGAUUUGUGUUAGUGGGCCAUCUGUUACAAUUAUAACAAUAGGUAAAAUAAUUAGCUUGGAAGCUGGGCAGUGGUGGCGCGCGCCUUUAAUGCCAGCACUCGGGAGGCAGAGCCAGGAGGAUCUCUGUGAGUUCGAGGCCAGCCUGGUCUACAGAGCGAGUUCCAGGAAGGCACAAAGCUACAUAGAGAGACCCUGUCUCGAAAAACCAAAAAAUAAUAAUAAUAAUUAGCUUGGAGUAUGCUUAUUUUAGCUCCAUUUUAGAGGUCUCUGUCCAGGCUACCUGGGUCCCUUGCCUUGGGCUCAUAACAGCACAUCACGACAGGAGGCACGUCUACAUUUGUACCUUUCCCACACUUUGAUAAUUGGUUUGUUAGUUUUGCUUAUUUGUUUUUUCACUGUGUAGCCUUGACUGGCCUGGAACUCAAAAUAUAGACCAGGCUGGCCUCAAAUUCACAGAGAUCUGCAUGCUUUUGCCUCCUGAGUGCUGGGAUUAAAGAUAUGUACCAUCACACCUGACUGUUUGCAGUUUUGUUAACAUACCCUUAAUUGUGUUUACAUCUUUUUAAAAGCUGCCCUUAUUGUUGAUGGGAAUAUGAAAUGUUGUUAUUACUCUGGGAGUAGUCUGAGGUUACUUACAGAGGCAAGCAAAUGGUAGCUGGGGCAUCACUUACUAGUAAAGUGCUUGCCCAGCAUGCACUAUGCCCUGGCUUUGAUCUCUAGCAUCACAAGGAAACCCAUGUAAUUACCAGCAAUUGCACCAUAGGCAUUUUUUUUUAAAUUAGAGUUUCUGUUACUGUGAUAAAACACUAUGACCAAAAGCAACUUGAAGAGCAAAGGGUUUAUUUCCUCUUACCGCUCUUGGGUCACACUCCAUCACGUAAGGAAGUCAGUGCAGGAGCUCAAGCAAAAGCUGUGGAGGAGCGCUGCUUACUGUGUUUGGUUUGUUUGGUUUUUGUAGAUUGCUCGGUCUGCUUUCAGAUACCAUCCAGGACCACCUUCCCAGCAAUGGCACUGCUCCCUUCCACAUCAGUCAUCAUCAUCCAAAAAAAAAAAAAAAAAGUCCCCCAGGCUUGCUUGCCUAUGAGCCAGUCUUACAGGGACAUUUUCUCAAUUGAGGUUCUCUCUUCUGAGAUGAGUCUCGAUCUGUGUCAAGUUGACAAAAACCAACCAGCACACAUUCCUUUCUAAUAAAUGAAAUCUCACGCUCCCAUAAUACCUGAACGUGGGUGUUCAUGGAAACUGUUUCUAAAAUGCUAUGCUGGAAACAAACCAAAUGUCCAUCCGUGGGAAAAUUGUGAAAUGAAGUGUGGCACAUCUGUGCUACAGAUUCAGGUGAUAAAAGUAUCUUUUAAAAAAAAAAAUCUAUUGAUCAAUACACAACAAUUUGGACCGGUCUCAAGAGAAUUAUGCUGAGUGAAGAGAAGCCCAGUUUCCGAAGAUGAACUCCUGAGUAAUUUCCCUUAUUUCUUAUCAUUUAAAUGACAGUCAUACAAGGGCAGACAGACCAGUGAGUGCCAAUGGUUAGGGAUGUCAGAGUCAUAGAGAGGGGAGGCAAGAAAGCAUGGCUACCAAAGGAUAGCUUGAGGACUCUGUGGGUGUGCUCCGUGCCUUUGUUGCUGAAGUGGAGACAUAAGCUUGCACAUAGGACCAGACUGUAUAUGAGCAUACACAGGUCCACACAGCACAUAAAUUGUGCAUAUAUGUAGACAUAAAGCAGUGAAAUCAAAUCAAACAGUGGGCUCUCUUAGUGUCUGUCUUCUGGGUGUAUGGGAAGAGUUAGAGGAGCUGUCAAAAAAUGUGCAGACUAUUUUUUACAGUUGCAUGUGAAUCUACAAGUCCUUCAAGUAAAUUAAUUUAAAAAGCAGGCCCUUUACUACAAAGGCUUUUUUCUAUAUGCAGAUCUCACAAAUGAUUUUUUUGGUGGAUUAUCCUAAAUAUUUACAGACUUUCUCCUAUAAACCAAAUCUUGAUAUUGUAUUUUCUUAGUGGUUAUUAUUGGCUUAGAGGAAUGCAAUUUAUUCUUAUGACUUCUUUGCCUAUUUGGCAACUUUGCCAGAUUAUCAAAUUUGUUCCAGAUUAUUUUUCAUGAGCUUUAAGUUCAUGUAACACUAAACUUUUCAUGUAAAAAAAGCAAACACAUUUCUUCUGUCCAUUCGGUUGUAGAUCGCCCUGGGAUAUUUCCUGAUGUGAAAGAAUCUGAUGGGGACUCUUCCUGGGUGUGUUCUUGCUCCUGGGAUAAACCCUAUAUAGCCAUUCUGUUUCAUUAAUGUUAAAUUACACUAUUGGGCUUAAUUAGCUAGCACUGCAUCUCUGGUUUCUGAGUGAAUGUCCACCAUGAAAUCAGUUUGUCAUUUUCUUCACUUGUAAUUUAUUUGUUCUGUUUCAGCACCAGGGUUAUUAACUCAUAAAAUGAGUUUGGAAGCUUAUUUUCAAGUUCUAUUUUCUGUAGCAUAGUGUGCCAACUCCGAGCUACAAAUUCCUUGGGAGUACAGCAGAAUUUUUUCACAUGGCACCGUAUGGGUCUGAGGCAUAUUGGGUGGAAGGAGAAUUUGACCAUUGUUUUCAUAUUUUUACCAUUGGUCAUUUUUCUUUCUUGUGUCAGAGUUGAUAUCUGAAGUUGUCUCACACAACUUCCCAAAUCAUCUAGCGUUUUAGAUUUAAGUUCUCUAUGGUUGUUUCUGAGUUUCAAUUAUCAAUGAAUGUUAAAUUAAACCUAUUCACAAAUUUAGCAAAUCAAUGCUUCACUUUUGCCUUAGCUUUCUAUCGCUGUGACAAAAAAAAGGAAGAAAAAACGACAACAGCUAAGCUUGCCCAGUCCACACGAAAAGGAAACGAGGCUUGUUUAUAGCUUAGUGUCAGAGGGUUCUCUUGAGGUCUUCUGCCCUGUUGCUUUGGGUCUUUGGCAGCACAUUGCGCUGGAGAUCACAUGUUGGAAGAGGCCUAUUCACAUCACAGGGGCUGUGAUGAAAAGAGAGAAACACACACACACACACACACACACACACACACACACACACACACACUAAAUAAGAACAAAAAUGAAUCUUAAAAAGUAAUUACAAGCUGGAGAUCAAGCCUUCAACAAGUGACCUUUGGGUGACACCCAGAUUCAUGGCAUAGCCUCUCCGUCAGAGGGAAAGGUAAGCUGGAUUUCUAACCAUCAUCUUGCAGUUUACUCUUACCAUUGACCUAGAAAUUCUUCUUGCUUUUGUACUAAUGUGUUAGGUCUCAUACACACUUCUGUGUAACUCUGCUUGUUAUCAUUACUCUCACAUUUUAGUAGAGAAAAUAAUUCUUAGAAAGGAUGUACGGCACUGCAGGAGGCAAACAGAUAUUUCGAAACUUUAAUAUCUAAAUAUAUUUUAGAUUGACUGGGUGAGUUAUACAGAAGCCUAGAUUGGAAAUAUUUUUUCUUUAGAAAAGUGAGGGAAUUGUUUCUUGCCUGGGGACAUUUUAAUGACUCACCUUUUGAAUUGUCACUUUCUGGUACAUAUUCCGGCCUUUUCCUGCAGUGCUCUAAAAUAACACAGUGGUUAAUUUUAGAUAAUCCCCUCUCUUAUAUUGUGUCAGGUGUGAAAUAGGACCUUUUAAUCUGAAGACUCAUGCUAAAAAUAGCUAACGAUCUUUAUGGUACUAUUUAAUGUCUGCUUGUGGGCAGUGUGUGUGUGUGUGUGUGUGUGUGUGUGUGUGUGUGUGUGUGUAUGUGUGUGUGUUUCAGCGUUGAACCCAAGGCCUUGCUAAGCAAGUGUUCUAUCACAGAUGUAUUUCUAACACACUAAUUAUUAUUAUUCCUUCUUUUUAUUCUGUUCUCAUAUUUUAGAGUGGUGGUGAUUUGGAUAUUGGCCCUUCCAAAUUACUUGAAAUUGAUGAAAGACUGCAGGAGACCUGAAUCCAAGCCGCUUGUACUUUGUCCAGGGAAGAAUUGAUCAUUGAUUGAAAAGCCCAUUUCAUGCUUUAUCAUGGUGUGUUGUGACAGCCGAGGACAAAGAGACAGGAGAAUGAAGUGCUAAGUCCAUGGUGGAAACCAGUGGUUAUGAAGACCCUAUUGUGUUCCAGGGAUAUCUGAUAUGUGAUCUCCCCAAGGAGUUGAGACCCACCACAGAUUGAGAACCACUAGUCUGAAUGGUUCAAGAGUAGCAGAUGCUUCAAAUAUUCAGAGUGAUAGCUCUGUUCCUAUACAUCUCCCCGAGUGGCCCAAGAUUUGGAAAGAUGUGACAUUUAUGGUAAACGUUGUUGCUGAGCAGAGAAGCCUAGGAAAGAAGACUAGGAAAACUCAUUGCGAGGUGAUACACCUAAGCCUGCAUUUGGCCAGGAGAGAACAAACGAAAACCUGGGUUUCCACACUCAAUGCACUUUCUUCCCUUCAAGUUUCUGGACAUAUUCCCCCAUUAAAUAUUUCUUGAGUUUG
This is a long non-coding RNA of Peromyscus californicus insignis, 15654 nucleotides long. RefSeq lists it as uncharacterized. The transcript is spliced from 4 exons. Lineage: Eukaryota; Metazoa; Chordata; Mammalia; Rodentia; Cricetidae. The record is from RefSeq and is a predicted model, not a curated record.